This is a long non-coding RNA of Oncorhynchus tshawytscha (Chinook salmon), 372 nucleotides long. The record is from Ensembl. NCBI's taxonomy places the organism in Eukaryota, Metazoa, Chordata, Actinopteri, Salmoniformes, Salmonidae.
GGGGAGAAGGUUACCAUGAAGUGCUCCACCACUCUAAAAGACCAGGAAGGAAUGUACCUGUAUGUUGGGCUGGACAGAGACAGGGAGGUGCUGUAUUACUACCAGCGUGACUCCAAGCUGACCCCCAGGAAACGCUACUGGGACAGAGUGAAGACUGAGGGACCUGUGGACCAACUGACCAUCACCAUCAGUAACCUGACCACAGAGGACACAGGUGUCUACUGCCAACGAGAAGCCGUGCCCAUCUGGCGUGGAAAGCAUCAUCAUCAUCAUCACCAGCAUCUUGACCACCCUGAUGUGUGCCGUCAUCUUCCUCGUCUGGGUUGCUCCACUGGACGGUUGAUGCUCCUGACACCAGCGUCGCUGCUGAAC